GUUUGUCUUUGAGCUUCACUCCCAGGCUCAGGUCUCCAGUUUCUUGUUUAAUGUCAUAAUUAGAAGAAAGUCUUGAGAAGAUUUUUGUCCUGACUGAACAGAUUUUUGACCAGCCAACUAGCAAGCCAUGCAUUGUCCUCAUCCUUACACUCCCUGCAAUAUGGCUCCUUGUGUGGGACAAGGCUGUGACCUGGAUAGCUUCCAAACUGGCUGGAAGAAAGUGUGUGACUUCAAUGUGAGUAUAUUUUGCACAUGAAGAACCACAGAUUCUUCACCUGAGAUUCACAUCUAACAAGUGGGGUCUUCUUUCCUCCAGUAGAGCAGUGGUCAAACGGACAGCAUUUAAGGGAUUACUGAAGAAGCACGAGACAAUUAUCAGCAAUCCAAGGCAUUCUUCUAUCAAAAGUGUUUUCAGCUAAUUUGGAUUAUACUAUUUGAGUAGGAAAGAUAAAAAUCAGAAGACAGAACCUGGUCACCAUCACUUUGCAGAUUGCUUGAAUGCUUGGAAGAUCACCUGAGUGCCUGCACCAAUCCUGUGUCCAUCUUAUGUUGAAGGGAGCAUCGAGGCUCUUUCCAUGGUUAAGAUGAUUGAGCAAAAAGGAUCCAUUCACAGCUCCGGCAACAUCUCUGGAAUAACUGUGUGAAGGAACUCUGCCAAGAGCUGGAAUUGCAGUUAACAUAGAAGCUUGAGGCAUAGAUAGCUGUAUCAUCUGGUUAAUAACUGCCAUUUGAAGGAGUCUGCAACACAGUGUGACCAAUUGCCUCAGUGUGUCCAGGUCUAUCCUAGUUUCCUGAGGCACAUACUUCCCAUCUUACAAGUGGAAAUAGAGCAAAAACCAUAUACACAGGCUCUUGGGAUUUGAAUGUGAAAUGAUGCUCAAAUGUUGGACUACUUAUCCUCACUUUGGGGAGCAGCUUGGAGCACAGAUAUCUGUACCAUCUGCUUAGAAACUUCCAUUUGAAGAAGUUUGCAAUAUGGUGUGAUCAAGUUGCUUCGGAGGUAAAGGACUUUUAAGACUGUGGCCUUGUUAGCAGGAAAAGGUAGCUGGGGGUGGGCCUGGAAGAUGAUCUCUACCUUAAUUCCAGCUAAGCACUCUGGUUCCUGGUUCUGCAAGAUGUGAACAAAUGUCUUAGUCAGGGUUUCUAUUCCUGCACAUAAACAUUAUGACCAAGAAGCAAAUUGGGGAGGAAAGGGUUUAUUCUGCUUAGAAGUCUACAUUGCUGUUCGUCACCAAAGGAAGUUAGGACCAGAAUUCAAGCAGCUCAGGAAGCAGGAGCUGAUGCAGAGGUCAUGGAGAGAUGUUACUUACUGGCUCAGCUUGCUUUCUUGUAGAACCCAAGACUACCAGCCUAGGGAUGGCCCCACCCACAAUGGGCUCUUCCACCCUUGAUCACUAAUUGAGAAAAUGCCUUACAGCUGGAUCUCAUGAAGGCAUUUCCUCAAGGAAAGCUCCUUUCUCUGUGAUAACUAAGCUUGUGUCAAGUUGACAUACAAAAUCAUCCAGUACAACAAGUCACGUUAUAACCUCUCAAUGUCACUGAAUGAGACCCACCAUGCCUUUCUUGUAAUGAUAGACCAAUACCUCUAAAACAGCAGUUCUCAAAGGUCAUGGCCUCUUUGGGGUACAAAGAGUAUCACAUAUCAGAUAUCCUGCGUAUCAAAUAUUUAAUUAUGAUGAUUCAUAACAUAGCAAAAUUAUAGUUAUGAAGUAGCAAUGAAAAUAAUUUUAUGGUUGGGAUCUUAACAAUAUGAAGAACUGUAUUAAAGGGCUGCAGCAUUAGGAAGGUUGAGAGCCACUGCUUUAAAACAUUAUCAUUGUGUCACAGUGACACAAUGACCGAAGUUAACUGGACUGGAUGGGUCUGAAUAACACAACACUUAAGUCAGUCUGGGAAGGCCCACCCACCCAGUCUGUCACUCAUUAUCAAUUUCAACUUGCAUGUGUUGAGAAAGCAUCUUCUUAGACUCCUAGCUGGAUUAGCUCACUGGGCUAACCUGGUACAAGGAAUUGGACAUUUUGGUGGGCCAACAUCGAGAAGGAUAGAUUCGAGAAAGACUAGAGUAGAUUAUGUAUGAUCUCUAGCACCUGGCACUGACCCCCUUCCCUCCACUUCAUAUAUUUUCUCCCUCAAGACAGGAUAUGGUGAAGUGGAUUCUGUCCAAGAGGAGAGCGAGGGCCUUCAGGAAAAACAGGUCUCUAUUCAGGGAAAUAAAGCCUUGAAACAUCUCUGGAUUGCCCAUUAAGCAGCACUGUAAGAGGUGGACUGAUUCUUGCCACAUGGAAACUCUUCAUGAUGAAGGGUUAAUGCAGGACUUUUAAAAAGUGCCCCCUGUUUCCAAACUGAAUAGUUUGUCUAGAAGGAGGGAUUUUGUUUUCUUUUCAGACUGGACCUAAAUUUGGCAUCCUAUGGAAGUUUUACUUUAUUCCAUCAGCACUCAGCCAAGUCUCCUGGGUCAGGAACAGCAGCUGAGAAAAGUUGAAUGAAUGGCCCAUUUUCUCUCUUCAUUCCUAUCCUUAAUUCCAUAUGUUUCUCAAUUUCUCACUUAUAAAUUUAAUUAGAUAAAUAUUUUUAAAUGUGGAAGGUGGAGACUUUGAGAACUCGAUGGAUUUGAAAUAAACUUUUGUGGCUCGUGGCACUUUCAGCCUCUGCUAUGCAUUUAGAGAAACAAGCAGCGGAGAGCCAUUGUAAGGAAGAAGGAUCGGGGUUUACUGGAAGAGAUCUUUGUGCCUAAACACCGGGGUAGGGAAGCCAUAGGAAUGUGGAUAGCCCUGGGAGAUAACACUCUUACAAUAAGUGGGUAAUUGUGUUUAUGGGAAUGGAGAUAUUUAUAUGAUUGGUUUCUUGGAUUAACUUCAGGGAAAUGAGAAAACGCUCACUGAGUGUUUACUUGGAAUUUCGUUAGAGGUGCACUUUGUCUCCUGUGUCAGCACCAGAUCCCCAGGAAUGAGACUGCAGAUGUCUUAGACAAGGUUUCAGGGAAAUGCCUCAAAGUGAUCCAAAAGGGAAACAAAGCUUGCGCUUGCUCGAGCCUAAUGUUACAGGAGGUGCUAACUCAGUGUUUGUUGACUGUGUGGCCUUCAGCCAGGAAGUGAAACUCGAAGCAUUUAGCGGGCUUUUAGAAUGAGGCUUCCUUUUCAUGGAGGUGUGGAUGGGACGGGCUAGCAACUCUGAAACUACUCUCUGAAUUUUAGCACUGAGCAAAAACCAGGGAUCUCUACUAUAGACAGUGUUCUCACAAUAAGGCCCCCUUAUUCUCAUGUUAAUGAUAAGAGAGAGAAUAAAUCCAAUGGUAUCAAGUUAGCGCUGGAGUUCUCUCAUGAGCUCAUAUUCCGAACAUAGACCUCCAGAGGGACUGAUUGAUGUGUCUGGUUAUAAAUAUGGAGAUGAAGACCCACUACAGGCGUGUGCAUUUGUGUGUUUGUAUUCUAGCUCUAUCAUUUUAUGAGGCCUACCUAACAGUAAUGAGUCAUGGUAGCAAUGAACAUGUCAAGCAUCCAGGCUCAGUUCUUAAACACAUUCUCUACUAAGAGGAAUUUGAACUCUUUGAAGAACUGGUGGACUCCGUGCCCAAGGGAAGAAAAGUAAAAGACAAGCCUACAGCAUCUUUUCAGUUUAGAAAGUAACAAGAGACUCAAAACAAGAUGAGAGAAAGGACAGAGGUUUCAGCUUGUGGGAGCUUCUAUUGGUCAGCUCUGAGAGCGAGCUAGAUAAGGGGUUAAUUAUUAUUUUAAAUAUUGUAGCUUAUUGACUGAAAGCGGAAUCCACUGUCAGCUAAAGGAGAAUGAGGGAAAGGCCAUCUUUCUAUCCAAAAGCCAACUAAUACACGAAGCAGGGAUGAUGAAAUGAAAAAAUUACCAUUUGGCAGAAGGAGCGUGUGGGUCUAGACAGUGAGGGUUUUCCAAACCAGUUUAUAGGAUCUCCAUGAAGCUGCUGACUGACUUUUGAGGAGCAAAGUAUUCGAGUUUUUGCAGGACUAAUUAUAAACCUAGGCAGUGACAUGUCUCACUAAUGGGACUGUGUCAAAGGCUACCAUUUAGGAUGAUGUGUUGGGUGUGGAUGUAGGGUCCCUGCCCUGCCAUGAACACUGGUGAUUUCACCCCAUGUUCAUACUGAGCCUAAACACUGAAGGCAAGUUAAAGAGUCCCUUAUAACUUAGUCAGGUCCUUUGGCUCUAAUAGACACCAGUUUGCUCAGAGGUAUCGAGCACAUAUUGUCUCACCUACAGACUCUUGAGCUAUGUCGUGUUUAUAAGGUAAAUGGGGUAAAAGAACAAAGUGGUUGGGGAGAUGCUCAGUCAUCAGUGCCUGUUGUGCAAGCCUGUGGUCUUGAGUUCAGUCCCUGAGAACCAACAUCAAAGUUGGUCCUAGCAGCAUACACUUGUAACUCCAUUGCUGGGGAGGCAGAGAAAGACAGAUCCUUGUGGUCAGUCAAAUUGAUGAGAUCUAGGUCCCAGUGAGAGAGCCAGUCUCAAGAAAUAAGAUAGAAAGCAUUUGAAGAAGGACUCCUGAGGUUGGCCACUAGCCUCCACAGGCAUAGACACCAAUGUACACCCAUGUAUUUGCAUGCACUCUUGCACACACACACACUUGAUAAACCAGUCACCCAGGAGACAGGAAAAAAUACCUGUUUCCAUGUUAUAAUCUAGUUUUACUGCAGGACAGAAAGGUGGGAGUGUGUUGCUGCUCAUAAUCUGGAGAAAUUCACAAGUUCAUUCAGCUCUGCUCAAUUCUGUCUUCUCUCCCAUGUAGGUAUGACGGGGAACGUGCUCUAUGAAACAGAACCCUAGAAACACUUACUGAAUUUGAACUUUGUGUUGCUUUCUGAUAUCCGUGCUUGGGAUUCUGAAUGACUCCAGUUGGAUUUGAUUGGACCCAGGGUAGCGAGAGAAAUGAGGGGACAAGGCAUACACAUAGUGCAUAAGCAGGUCAGCCAACCUCAUAAACAGGCACCUCACUAGAAACAUCUGCACAGCCUUUUAGUGAAGAGUUGGGUAUCUAGAGCUAUCAUGAUUGAGUGGGAAGGAGAUCACUGCCUCCCUCAGGAGGCCUUCCUGAGAUUUGUGAGAUGGCAAGAAUGAGAUUGGGAAGUGGGGAGACAGAAGGCCUCGUCCUGUCCUGAGCAUCGAGUCCCUGCUGGCUCUCAGAGUCUGCUCACUCUUGCAAGGUCACACACUUUUAUUUAUGUUACAGUCAGGCUGAAAGAGACAUGGAGCACUCUGGGGGUAUUAACCAGGAAGAAAUACAAUUCAGAUUUAAGCAGAGGAAAGAGAAGCCUCAGCCAGCUGCAUGGGAACAGGAAGGACAUUACAUGCUACUUUAGCUGGUCUCUUUCCUGCUGGGGCAAGUCAAUGCGUAAAUGAUAAAAUUUAUAGUGCAUGGAGGGUUGAGAGCCAGACUCGCAUCAUUUGAGUCUGAAUUCCGGUCCUGAAUAGAGUGCUUAUUGUCUCCCUUGGUCCCCCUCUUCCAAUGGAACCAGUCUCUGCCGGGUAGCAUCACAGAGUCUUCUCACAGAGUUGGAGGUAUUAGCAAAGCAGGGCUUGGUUUGGAGAGUGAGACAUUGACACUGAUCUUUAGUUAAAAUGGUCUCUUCUCAGGAAGACUCAUGACAUCAUACAUUUCUAGAACAGGACAGAUCUUCAAAAACAUGAACUGCAAGUUUCCUAUCCAUAGUGGAAGGUGGAAACGGAAGGAAGAAGGCAUGGUCCGGUCUUUCAGGAAGACUCUGCAGGAAGGAUACCACGGACAAGGGCUGAAAAUCUAAAUCCAACUCUGAAAACAUCACGUGACAGACACUGCCUUACCAUGUACACACCCAGAUGAUCCAACUUUCAUGUCAAUGACAGUGUUCAUCUGAAAAAGACCCAGCUUGACCCCUUACCUAAGUCACCUGAGAGAUGGGAGCCAAAUCCACUUCCUGUUCAGGUGUCAUAGAAAGGAGAGCCCAUUCUGUCCCUAGACUCAGUGCUGCCAAGACCCUGAGGGCUUGAGAAAAAGAAUUCUAAUGAAGUUUUUGUUUUGCUUUGUUUUGUUUUUCAAACAAUAGUGACUUUGUUGGCACAAUCAAGAAGCCCUCAAAGCAUGUGAGUGUGAGGGAUGGUGGUGAGUAAUGUGGUUUUAAAAUGAAGUCUUGAGUAUUGGCCCUUGCUUUUGAAGCACUUCUCUAUCAACUGCCUCAGAGGAUAAAAUGAAAUAGUUGGGCAAAGUGUUCAGUACUGUCUUUCUACUAUUUGUUUAAAAUGCAUUGAUGCUAUCUCAUCACUUCUGUUUCUAGAAUAAAUCAAAGCCAGCAUUUUGAUAGCUUUUUAAAGAUGUGUACGCAUGUGCAUAUACGUGUGUGUGUGUGUGUGUGUGUGUGUGUGUGUGUGUUAAGUGUGCAUGUGAAGGGGACAGAGGUCAUUGUUGAAUUCCUCUAUUGCUUUCUGCCUUGUUGUCAAAAGCAAGGUCUCUCACUAAGCCUGCAGCUUACUCUCAGGACAAGAGCAGUGGGCCAUCGGGAUCUAGAAACACUUCUGUCUUUGCCUCCCCAGUGUUAGGGGACAAGCAUGUACCAUUUCACCCAGCCUUUUAUAUUUGCCGAGGAUCUCACCAUUGGUCUUCAUGUUUGUGUGGCAAUCGCUUUAAUGAGAUGGCUCCAGGGAAAGGCACUGUAUCUCCUGCCAAGCCUGGCAACUUAAGUUUAAUCUCUGAGACCUACAGUAUGGAGAGUUGUAAGUUGAGCUCUGUCUUCUACAUAUGCACCAGGAUGCCUGUGUGUCCCCAAAUAAAAUAAAUAGAUGUUUUA
RNAcentral lists this long non-coding RNA (6783 nucleotides) under Rattus norvegicus (Norway rat). Its description in RNAcentral is "pregnancy induced noncoding RNA like (Pincl)". Lineage: Eukaryota; Metazoa; Chordata; Mammalia; Rodentia; Muridae. The record is from RNAcentral.